GACGAACGCUGGCGGCGUGCUUAACACAUGCAAGUCGAGCGGAAAGGCCCUUCGGGGUACUCGAGCGGCGAACGGGUGAGUAACACGUGAGUAACCUGCCCCUGACUCUGGGAUAAGCCUGGGAAACCGGGUCUAAUACCGGAUACGACCAUUUCUCGCAUGGGAUGGUGGUGGAAAGUUUUUUCGGUUGGGGAUGGGCUCGCGGCCUAUCAGCUUGUUGGUGGGGUGAUGGCCUACCAAGGCGACGACGGGUAGCCGGCCUGAGAGGGCGACCGGCCACACUGGGACUGAGACACGGCCCAGACUCCUACGGGAGGCAGCAGUGGGGAAUAUUGCGCAAUGGGCGGAAGCCUGACGCAGCGACGCCGCGUGGGGGAUGACGGCCUUCGGGUUGUAAACCUCUUUCAGCAGGGACGAAGUUGACGUGUACCUGUAGAAGAAGCGCCGGCUAACUACGUGCCAGCAGCCGCGGUAAUACGUAGGGCGCGAGCGUUGUCCGGAAUUAUUGGGCGUAAAGAGCUCGUAGGUGGCUUGUCGCGUCUGCCGUGAAAGCCCGUGGCUUAACUACGGGUCUGCGGUGGAUACGGGCAGGCUAGAGGCUGGUAGGGGCAAGCGGAAUUCCUGGUGUAGCGGUGAAAUGCGCAGAUAUCAGGAGGAACACCGGUGGCGAAGGCGGCUUGCUGGGCC
Molecule: ribosomal RNA, 687 nt
Filed under: Microbispora bryophytorum
Lineage: Bacteria; Bacillati; Actinomycetota; Actinomycetes; Streptosporangiales; Streptosporangiaceae
Description: bacterial SSU rRNA
Rfam family: Bacterial small subunit ribosomal RNA
Source: RNAcentral